RNAcentral lists this long non-coding RNA (4013 nucleotides) under Oryza sativa (Asian cultivated rice). RNAcentral's name for it is "long non-coding RNA (OSAT_LNC000833)". The record is from RNAcentral. Lineage: Eukaryota; Viridiplantae; Streptophyta; Magnoliopsida; Poales; Poaceae.
UGUCUUCCUCUAGUUUUGAUAUGCAAGCUUCACUUUCCAUGUUCAUCGCACACGCCAUUAGACCCAUAUAUUUACAUCUCUUUGUGAGAUUCACAAGUCAUGAUUGGGGAUUUACAUGAAGCAGGAAUUUCUAAUGUAACUGAAAGAAAAGGAAUGACUGAAAUAGAAGUUGUCAAAGUCAAAAAGAUAAAACCUCAAAGGCUAUUCACGUUUUUCCUUCUCAUACCUCUCCACCAUCUACAGGAGUCAUCUCUUCUUUCUUUCUCCUCUAGUCCUUCCAUAGUGCGUCAUCCAUACUCCUAUAGAAACCUUGUGAUCAACUAACUAUUCAUGUACCAGUCAGUAGAACCAACCAAUGACUAUAAACGUAAUUACUAAUUAUAGGAAGCUCGAGAGUAUAGAAAACAAAUAAAUUAAUAAACUUUCAGAUUUUUCACCUUAUUUAGUUGUUAGUUGAAAAAAACACACGUUAGCAAUAUCAAGUAUUUUGUUAUAUGUUUGAUGUGGUUGUAGGCUUGACACACCAUAGUUAAAAUCAUAGAUUUGGAAUCAAUGUAUUUUAAUUUUAGAAGUACGGUGAAUAUAUACACACACUUACUUAUGGUUUGGGAGAUAUUUGAUACAUAUGGGAAUAUUUUAAGCCUACGUGAGAUUCAUAUACAUGCAAAUAUAGUGAUUCGAUACAAAGGAGCGAAAUUUUAGGAUUUUUGAUUCCUCUCUCUCGCUGGUUUUGAUGGUUUUGGAGUCCAUCUUUCACAAAGGCCAACUCUAUCAUUGGCUGGCGCCGCUUCGUUUGGGGACCUGUUAGGAUUAUAGUAGGGUUUCCUCCGCUCCAAAUCUCCCUCUUGUAGGAGCAACAGGUACAACUUUCCUUUUUCAUAGUUUUUUCCCUUCACAGUUCCUUUGCCUGUCCCCGGUAAUGGUCUUUUCGUCCGUUGUGUUGUGUAAUAUAUUAACAUAUAAUUUUUUUACGCUUUUGCGUUUUUUUAGUGAUGUGACGAUGAUGUAUAUGGACCGUGUGUUCUCAAUUGUAUACUUUCAAAGGAACUAGUACCAUUCGUAUUGUUGAGAGGAUAAACACACAAGCGUUUAAAGUUUUUAACAUUGAUGAAGGGGUAGUAAACACGCGCUGCAAAAAGGUGAGACAAGGUAAAGCCGAGAGACGAGUGGUAUUAAGUUCGCUCAAAAAUAAAGUUAUAAAACCAGGGAAGCAAAGGCGGCCCGGGAAAAAAAAGAACCCAUCGCGGCCACCCGCCUCGUUCGCUUCCAUCCUCUCCGCAGUCCGCACCCGCGCGCGCGCGCUCGACUCCCGCACCAGCCGCGUCAUGGCGCCAUUCCAGCUGCGCUUCGGCCUCCGGAUGUCCCCCUCGCGCUCCUCCGACGAGGAGGAGGAAGACGACGAGGACGAGGAAGGGUUCGAGUACGAGGAGAUACUGAGCGACGACGGGACGGACUCGCCGCCGCCGCUGAUGAUGCAGGCGGAGAAGGGAGGGGGAGGGCUGGUCGGGGCGGUGGUGGGGGCGCUGCGGAGGUCGCUGGUGAUGUGCAGCGCCGGGAAGGUCGGGGAGGAGGAGGACAGCGAGGACGAGGAAGAGGAGGGGAUGGAGAUCGGGCGGCCCACGGACGUGCGGCACGUCUCCCACGUCACCUUCGACCGCUUCGGCGGCUUCCUCGGCCUCCCCGCCGACCUCGAGCCCGAAGUUCCCAGCCCCACGCCCAGCGCCAGGUGAGCUCGCCGGCGCUAACUCUCUGCAAUUCCUCUGUUUCUUCUACUCUUCGGUCUCUCUCUUUCAGUUUUCUGAGGAUUUUACCUGAAAGAAGCUAGUAGCUACGUACUCUACAUACCCAAAUAUUCUUUGGUACUUGUAUUUUUCAAUUUCACGCAGUGUAUUUUUCAAUUUCACGCAGAAAUAUGUGUUAGUAAAUUUGUUGUUUUAUCCUUCUCUGUUCUGUGUUCUCCAAUGCAAUUAGCGUAUAACCUCUUUACAAAAUAUAUUGUGUUCAUAGAAAGGCUCCCAAGAAAGUUGAUAGUACUAAUAUGAUGUUUCAGAACGAUGAUAGUGAGCUUUGGUUUCUUUUCUAGUAUGUUUAGUUGAUCGCUCAGAUGAUACAGGGUAGAAAGAGGGCGAUUUGUUUAAGGAUGUAAGAUUAAUUUAUUCCACAAGUGGAUCUAGUAAUUAAAAAAGGACAAGUAGUACCUUUUUAAUAAAAAGUUCAGUUCUUAAUUCUAGUAUGCGGUUAUAUAGUUAGAUUGCUGAGUCAAGAAGUACAUGCCAUCAAACAAGGAAUGGAAGUAUGGAACACUAUGAAGGUAUGUGAAGGUAUACGAUUCUGAAGAUAUAUGAGGGCAUAAGAGAAGAAUAACUCAUAUGUAGGAUUUGGUACAAUACUACCAUAUGACGGCCAUGGGUUGAACUUUCAACGGAUCAGACUUGAGUUACUUCGUUCUGUGCUUGAGCUUUAAGCAACGGGGCUGUUUGAGGUGGUUGGCCAGCAUGAGCAACAAAUGGGAAUCUUCAAACCUAUCUUUUUUAUUUUGGAUUAGUUCUCCUGUACUUUGCAUCAUCAUAUAUAGUAAUGUUCUGUGAAGUUUGUCCUUUUGCAUUUACAAAUAUCAUUUACACCAUCUUUUUAAGGUUGUUAACGUCAAAUCAGUAUUUGAUGUACAACCUAGUUAAAUGAGCUAGGAAUAUAAGACAUUGUCCUGUUGCUACUGCUGUUAUGUCAUAAUCUCUUUUUUACCCCUUUAACUUGUAGUGGUUACAGAAGUGAAGAUUCAAAGUUUAUUCACCUUAACUACGAUCCUUCCCUCCUUUUUCUUUUUCUUUUUUACCGUGAAACAGUAGGGGAGGCCUCUACCGUAUAUUAAUUUUCGAAAAGUUUAUGUACAUGAUACUUAACAAUUUCCAUGUCUAAUUUUCCAUGCAGUGUAAAUGUAUUUGGUGUUUCACCAACCUCUUUGCAAUGUUCAUUUGAUCACAAAGGAAAUAGCGUGCCCACAAUACUGUUGAUGAUGCAGAGGAAGUUGUAUGAACGAGAGGGACUUAAGGUAUGGCCACCGCAACCUAACGAUUAGCAUUAGAAAAGUCAGUAUUCAAGCCUUCGGAAUACUUAUCCAUUGUGUUCUUACUUCUUAGAUCGAAGGGAUCUUCAGAAUUAACGCAGAGAAUAGCCAGGAAAUCUGUGUCAGGAAACAACUAAACAGUGGUGUGGUUCCAGAUGAGGUUGACUUACACUGCCUUGCAGGGUUGAUAAAGGUAGCAUGAACUUCCUCAUCUCUCCUUAAUUUUUCCGGUCCACGGCCUGAGCUGUAUGAGGCAAAAAAGAUCGUUAUUAUUUAUCGGCAAUUUGCUCUUGUUUGUUUAGUUUUUCAGUACUGAGCAUUACCUCAGAUUGACAGACGACUAGGCAGUUGCAUCUAUGUAUGUGCAUCCCCUUUUUAUGCAAUCUGAACAUUUCAGAACCUGAAAUGUUUGCAGACAUGAAGGAAUACAGAAUAAUUGGUGCAAGGAACAGUACUUUUUAAGUAAAAAGUCGAAUAAGUAUUUGCAGGCAACUGACUAUUAGAUGUGCAUGCUAUUAGUCAUAUUUCUUGUACAUGGGUUAUUGGCUUACUGGAGGAUCUAUUCCAUGAUCACUAUAUUCCCUUUUUAUAGGCAUGGUUUCGGGAACUCCCAACCGGUGUAUUGGACUCACUGACACCGGAACAAGUAAUGCAUUGCAACACAGAAGAGGACUGUGCUCUCCUUGCUUCAAUGCUACCACCAGUGGAAGCCGCAUUACUCGAUUGGGCUAUCAAUCUGAUGGCUGAUGUUGUGGAGCAUGAAAACUACAACAAGAUGAAUGCUAGAAACAUCGCUAUGGUCUUUGCGCCAAACAUGACUCAGGUAUUAGAAACAACUCUGGAUUCUUUCGUUAGAAAAGCAUACACAUACACUAACCUGCAAUGUUUGUUUUCCAGAUGGCCGAUCCAUUGACUGCCCUGAUACAUGCAGUUCAGGUCAUGAAUUUCC